Sinocyclocheilus grahami is the source of this 180-nucleotide long non-coding RNA. RefSeq lists it as uncharacterized. Lineage: Eukaryota; Metazoa; Chordata; Actinopteri; Cypriniformes; Cyprinidae. The transcript is spliced from 2 exons. The record is from RefSeq and is a predicted model, not a curated record.
GCCUUUUCCUGUGGGUUGAUUCGAGGAGCUCUAUCUAAUCUGGGCUUGGAGAGCGUCGUCACUGCAGAGGUUUCUUUAAUGCCAUCGUGCAAAUUCCAAGUUGUCAUUCAGAAACUCUAGGAUGGACGAAACAAGCUCUGAACAGCAGUGUUUCUUCAAUUAAAACUUUGUGAAUGUGAA